Molecule: transfer RNA, 73 nt
Organism: Methanococcus maripaludis
Lineage: Archaea; Methanobacteriati; Methanobacteriota; Methanococci; Methanococcales; Methanococcaceae
Rfam family: tRNA
About the family: Transfer RNA (tRNA) molecules are approximately 80 nucleotides in length.
Source: Rfam
GGGCCCGUAGCUCAGUUGGGAGAGCGCCGCCCUUGCAAGGCGGAGGCCGUGGGUUCAAAUCCCGCCGGGUCCA